AGCGAACGCUGGCGGCAGGCUUAACACAUGCAAGUCGAGCGCCCCGCAAGGGGAGCGGCAGACGGGUGAGUAACACGUGGGAACGUACCCUUUGGUUCGGAACAACCCAGGGAAACUCGGGCUAAUACCGGAUACGUCCGUAAGAGAAAGAUUUAUCGCCAAAGGAUCGGCCCGCGUCUGAUUAGCUAGUUGGUGAGGUAAUGGCUCACCAAGGCUACGAUCAGUAGCUGGUCUGAGAGGAUGAUCAGCCACAUUGGGACUGAGACACGGCCCAAACUCCUACGGGAGGCAGCAGUGGGGAAUAUUGGACAAUGGGGGCAACCCUGAUCCAGCCAUGCCGCGUGAGUGAUGAAGGCCCUAGGGUUGUAAAGCUCUUUUAGCAGGGAAGAUAAUGACGGUACCUGCAGAAAAAGCCCCGGCUAACUUCGUGCCAGCCGCCGCCGUAA
RNAcentral lists this ribosomal RNA (446 nucleotides) under uncultured bacterium. Its description in RNAcentral is "partial 16S ribosomal RNA". It matches the Rfam family "Bacterial small subunit ribosomal RNA", at positions 29 to 523 of the family's 1533-position model. The record is from RNAcentral.